This 406-nucleotide ribosomal RNA is filed under the name uncultured Lactobacillus sp. RNAcentral's name for it is "bacterial SSU rRNA". It matches the Rfam family "Bacterial small subunit ribosomal RNA", at positions 143 to 550 of the family's 1533-position model. Lineage: Bacteria; Bacillati; Bacillota; Bacilli; Lactobacillales; Lactobacillaceae. The record is from RNAcentral.
AUAACACCUGGAAACAGAUGCUAACGGAUAACAACACUAGACGCAUGUCUAGAGUUUGAAAGAUGGUUCUGCUAUCACUCUUGGAUGGACCUGCGGUGCAUUAGCUAGUUGGUAAGGUAACGGCUUACCAAGGCAAUGAUGCAUAGCCGAGUUGAGAGACUGAUCGGCCACAUUGGGACUGAGACACGGCCCAAACUCCUACGGGAGGCAGCAGUAGGGAAUCUUCCACAAUGGACGAAAGUCUGAUCGCGUGAGUGAAGAAGGGUUUCGGCUCGUAAAGCUCUGUUGGUAGUGAAGAAAGAUAGAGGUAGUAACUGGCCUUUAUUUGACGGUCCAUACUUAGAAAGUCACGGCUAACUACGUGCCAAAGACGCGGUAAUACGUAGGUGGCAAGCGUUGUCCGGAU